Long non-coding RNA from Oreochromis aureus, 853 nucleotides. Lineage: Eukaryota; Metazoa; Chordata; Actinopteri; Cichliformes; Cichlidae. The record is from Ensembl.
GGGAAGGCAAGAACGAGAGAGGAAGUGAGUGUUCAUUACAAAGUGUGCCACGGUUGUGGGCAUGCCCAGUAGAGUUCGACUCACAGCCUGAAAUCCAGCCUCUAAAUUUGAACAGGAGGGAGACGAGGUGACUGAGCAGACUUUUGUUGCUUUCUCUCCCUGACUCUCUCCUUCCCGCUCGCCCUCGCUCUCUCUCCCAACAUAUUAUUUUUCCCCUCCUCCCUCCAUUAGUGAGUGUGUGUGGAGAGAUUUGCGUUUUGCUAUAGAAGAGCAAGAGGAGGUGCAGAAUUUCAGCUAGAGAAAGACACAACAAGGGAGAAGAGAAGUAAAGAAAAUAGGAGGAAGAGGAUAAGAAGUGGGACAAAAAGGCAAGACAGAGCCCACGUUUCUCCUGCUCUGCCCUGCUCCCUCCUCCACCAACGAGUUUUACCUCAAAAAGAGCAGAGGGACCAACUUCAAAAGGCAGUCAGGAGGGAGCUGGAGUGUGAAACGUGAGGAGAGAAGAAGAUGAGAGGCUGACCGGCGCUGUGCUUGCUGUGCUGUCCAGGACAGAAGCAGAGCCCUGGAUCCACAGGUGACUCCUGGCAGUAAUGGGAGUGUUCGUGGAAGAACUCGCUCCUGAAGGCCCGUGAGAGGACACACAAAAGCCUUUUAGACCAGGUCAGGACAUGUCGGGGAACAGUUGAUGAACAUGAGACGCAUAUAACAACCAGCUUCCCACACACCGUGUAGACAUCUUUGUUUUAUAUCUUAUAGUUUGACCAGGACAUGCGUGUGAUCUGUGACAGUAGCAGCUGCUUUUUAAUGCUUCACGUCUCUGUAAUAUAAACAUGUAAAUAAAGUAUUAAUGAAA